UCGACUGCUUUUGCAACACGGCAUGAGUCUGCAAUCACAUCAAAGUAAAAGUUAAAAAUAUAACAUGGUGAUUGCAAUGGAUUGAAACACUUCUGAGACAUAAACAUCCGUUGAUGAGCGAAAGUCCUUCUUGAUGGAGGAACUCCAGAAAAUCACUGCAGGAGGAAUUAUGGGAUCAGCAAACCACUAAUGAGCUCGUGAAUGGAGGCAGCGCUGCCGAAAUCUCUAGGUGAAAGUAGAUGAUCCUGGGGAAAGUACAUCCUCUCCUUGAGUCUGGAGUCAAUGAGAACUCUGGCGCUGGGACUCCGUGAGUAUGCAGGGUCUGGUGGGGGGAGGUGCUUGGAGGGGGAUGGGAGCCACCACCCCACCCCACCCCCGCUGGGCAGGCGCCUGCAGCCACCACCCACUUCUUAUACUCCUGGAACACGAUGAAGAGGAUGUGCACAGCGAUGCUGUUGAGAGCGUAUG
Molecule: long non-coding RNA, 468 nt
Organism: Hyaena hyaena (striped hyena)
Lineage: Eukaryota; Metazoa; Chordata; Mammalia; Carnivora; Hyaenidae
Exons: 3
Source: RefSeq, a predicted model, not a curated record